UGGGGAAUAUUGCACAAUGGGCGCAAGCCUGAUGCAGCCAUGCCGCGUGUGUGAAGAAGGCCUUCGGGUUGUAAAGCACUUUCAGCGAGGAGGAAGGUGGUGAACUUAAUACGUUCAUCAAUUGACGUUACUCGCAGAAGAAGCACCGGCUAACUCCGUGCCAGCAGCCGCGGUAAUACGGAGGGUGCAAGCGUUAAUCGGAAUUACUGGGCGUAAAGCGCACGCAGGCGGUUUGUUAAGUCAGAUGUGAAAUCCCCGGGCUCAACCUGGGAACUGCAUUUGAAACUGGCAAGCUAGAGUCUCGUAGAGGGGGGUAGAAUUCCAGGUGUAGCGGUGAAAUGCGUAGAGAUCUGGAGGAAUACCGGUGGCGAAGGCGGCCCCCUGGACGAAGACUGACGCUCAGGUGCGAAAGCGUGGGGAGCAAAACAGGAUUAGAUACCCUGGUAGGUCCACGCUGUAAACGAUGUCGAUUUGGAGGUUGUGCCCUUGAGGCGUGGCUUCCGGAGCUAACGCGUUAAAUCGACCGCCUGGGGAGUACGGCCGCAAGGUU
This 550-nucleotide ribosomal RNA is filed under the name uncultured bacterium. Its description in RNAcentral is "partial 16S ribosomal RNA". It matches the Rfam family "Bacterial small subunit ribosomal RNA", at positions 355 to 895 of the family's 1533-position model. The record is from RNAcentral.